Molecule: long non-coding RNA, 550 nt
Organism: Mytilus californianus (California mussel)
Lineage: Eukaryota; Metazoa; Mollusca; Bivalvia; Mytilida; Mytilidae
Exons: 4
Source: RefSeq, a predicted model, not a curated record
UGUAAAUCAAUGUUUCACGAACCGGCACUAUUCUUUAAACAACAAUUUCUUUGGCAUGAUCGGUCAUCAAGACAAAUUGGUACAAUGGGACUUGUAAAACUGACAAUUACAAUUUCAUUUUGGAUAUUUAUUGUAAACGGGUCUUGUCCUUUUGAAUACUACCAGUGCUCUGAGUUCCUUGAUUUGUGUUGUCCUGAUGGCUACAAAUGUACUGGUAAUACUUCUUGUGUAAAGAACCUGACAUACACAACCUCAUCAUCAGGAGGGGCCAUUGCUGGUGGCAUUUUAGGCGGCAUAGUUUAAUAGCACUCGUAUGCAGCUGUAUCUCAGCGGCUGUUAGAUCAAAGUCAUAGUUCUACGGAGAAAAAUAGUCGGCGGAAAGACCAAAGCCAAGGAUCAAUUACCAAACUAGAUUACGCUACCCAUAUGGCAGCAAAAUACCGCUACUGAAUAAAAAAAACACUUCCGGGUAUUAUUAACUUGUAUAACCUAUGUAUAUUAUCACAAAUUGAAUAUAAAAGUACUUGUCUCGUACAUUAUUUGAAUCUGA